AGUGAACGCUGGCGGUAGGCCUAACACAUGCAAGUCGAACGGCAGCACAGUAAGAGCUUGCUCUUACGGGUGGCGAGUGGCGGACGGGUGAGGAAUAUAUCGGAAUCUACUUUUUCGGGUGGGAUAACGUAGGGAAACUUACGCUAAUACCGCAUACGACCUACGGGUGAAAGCAGGGGAUCUUCGGACCUUGCGCGAUUGAAUGAGCCGAUGUCGGAUUAGCUGGUUGGCGGGGUAAAGGCCCACCAAGGCGACGAUCCGUAGCUGGUGUGAGAGGCUGGUCGGCCACACUGGAACUGAGACACGGUCCAGACUACUACGGGAGGCAGCAGUGGGGAAUAUUGGGCAAUGGGCGCAAGCAUGAUCCAGCCAUAGCGAGUGGGUGAAGAAGGCGUUCGGGUUGUAAAGCCCUUUUGUUGGGAAAGAAAAGCAGCAGGUUAAUACCCUGCUGUUCUGACGGUAACGAAAGAAUAAGCACCGGCUAACUUCGUG
This 492-nucleotide ribosomal RNA is filed under the name uncultured bacterium. RNAcentral's name for it is "partial 16S ribosomal RNA". It matches the Rfam family "Bacterial small subunit ribosomal RNA", at positions 29 to 507 of the family's 1533-position model. The record is from RNAcentral.